GCUCUCGUAGCUCAGUUGGUAGAGCGCGGCACUAGUAAUGCCGAGGUCUACGGUUCAAAUCCGUACGGGAGCA
This is a transfer RNA of Pseudogymnoascus pannorum, 73 nucleotides long. It matches the Rfam family "tRNA". Rfam says of the family: Transfer RNA (tRNA) molecules are approximately 80 nucleotides in length. Their secondary structure includes four short double-helical elements and three loops (D, anti-codon, and T loops). Further hydrogen bonds mediate the characteristic L-shaped molecular structure. tRNAs have two regions of fundamental functional importance: the anti-codon, which is responsible for specific mRNA codon recognition, and the 3' end, to which the tRNAs corresponding amino acid is attached (by aminoacyl-tRNA synthetases). tRNAs cope with the degeneracy of the genetic code in two manners: having more than one tRNA (with a specific anti-codon) for a particular amino acid; and 'wobble' base-pairing, i.e. permitting non-standard base-pairing at the 3rd anti-codon position. NCBI's taxonomy places the organism in Eukaryota, Fungi, Ascomycota, Leotiomycetes, Thelebolales, Thelebolaceae. The record is from Rfam.